This 415-nucleotide ribosomal RNA is filed under the name uncultured bacterium. RNAcentral describes it as "bacterial SSU rRNA". It matches the Rfam family "Bacterial small subunit ribosomal RNA", at positions 9 to 407 of the family's 1533-position model. The record is from RNAcentral.
GAGUUUGAUCAUGGCUCAGGACGAACGCUGGCGGCGUGCCUAACACAUGCAAGUCGAGCGGAGCCAAUCGACGGAAUCUUUCGGGAGGAAGACGAGGAAGCUUAGCGGCGGACGGGUGAGUAACGCGUGAGUAACCUGCCCAUAAGAGGGGGAUAACACAUUGAAAAGUGUGCUAAUACCGCAUAUUGAGCGAUGACCGCAUGGUCGAUGCUUGAAAGAUUUAUCGCUUAUGGAUGGACUCGCGUCUGAUUAGCUAGUUGGCGGGGUAACGGCCCACCAAGGCGACGAUCAGUAGCCGAACUGAGAGGUUGAUCGGCCACAUUGGGACUGAGACACGGCCCAGACUCCUACGGGAGGCAGCAGUGGGGAAUAUUGCGCAAUGGGGGAACCCUGACGCAGCAACGCCGCGUGAAGG